RNAcentral lists this ribosomal RNA (484 nucleotides) under uncultured bacterium. Its description in RNAcentral is "partial 16S ribosomal RNA". It matches the Rfam family "Bacterial small subunit ribosomal RNA", at positions 30 to 507 of the family's 1533-position model. The record is from RNAcentral.
AUUGAACGCUGGCGGCAGGCCUAACACAUGCAAGUCGAGCGGAUGAAGGGAGCUUGCUCCUGGAUUCAGCGGCGAACGGGUGGGUAAUGCCUAGGAAUCUGCCUGGUAGUGGGGGAUAACGUCCGGAAACGGGCGCUAAUACCGCAUACGUCCUGAGGGAGAAAGUGGGGGAUCUUCGGACCUCACGCUAUCAGAUGAGCCUAGGUCGGAUUAGCUAGUUGGUGGGGUAAAGGCCUACCAAGGCGACGAUCCGUAACUGGUCUGAGAGGAUGAUCAGUCACACUGGAACUGAGACACGGUCCAGACUCCUACGGGAGGCAGCAGUGGGGAAUAUUGGACAAUGGGCGAAAGCCUGAUCCAGCCAUGCCGCGUGUGUGAAGAAGGUCUUCGGAUUGUAAAGCACUUUAAGUUGGGAGGAAGGGCAGUAAGUUAAUACCUUGCUGUUUUGACGUUACCAACAGAAUAAGCACCGGCUAACUUCGUG